RNAcentral lists this ribosomal RNA (253 nucleotides) under uncultured bacterium. Its description in RNAcentral is "partial 16S ribosomal RNA". It matches the Rfam family "Bacterial small subunit ribosomal RNA", at positions 524 to 776 of the family's 1533-position model. The record is from RNAcentral.
UACGUAGGGUGCAAGCGUUAAUCGGAAUUACUGGGCGUAAAGCGUGCGCAGGCGGUUUUGUAAGUCUGUCGUGAAAGUCCCGGGCUCAACCUGGGAAUUGCGAUGGAGACUGCAAGGCUUGAAUCUGGCAGAGGGGGGUAGAAUUCCACGUGUAGCAGUGAAAUGCGUAGAGAUGUGGAGGAACACCGAUGGCGAAGGCAGCCCCCUGGGUCAAGAUUGACGCUCAUGCGCGAAAGCGUGGGGAGCAAACAGG